UGCAAGUCCGACGAUGAAGNNCUUCCGGGGUGGAUUAGUGGCGAACGGGUGAGUAACACGUGGGUAACCUGCCCUUGGCUUUGGGAUAAGCCCUGGAAACGGGGUCUAAUACCGGAUAUGACCAUGUCACGCAUGUGGUGUGGUGGAAAGUUCCGGCGGCCAGGGAUGGGCCCGCGGCCUAUCAGCUUGUUGGUGGGGUGAUGGCCUACCAAGGCGACGACGGGUAGCCGGCCUGAGAGGGCGACCGGCCACACUGGGACUGAGACACGGCCCAGACUCCUACGGGAGGCAGCAGUGGGGAAUAUUGCACAAUGGGCGAAAGCCUGAUGCAGCGACGCCGCGUGAGGGAUGACGGCCUUCGGGUUGUAAACCUCUUUCGACAGGGACGAAGCGAGAGUGACGGUACCUGUAGAAGAAGCACCGGCUAACUACGUGCCAGCAGCCGCGGUAAUACGUAGGGUGCGAGCGUUGUCCGGAAUUAUUGGGCGUAAAGAGCUCGUAGGCGGUUUGUCGCGUCGACUGUGAAAACUGGGGGCUUAACUCUCAGCUUGCAGUCGAUACGGGCAGACUUGAGUUCGGUAGGGGAGACUGGAAUUCCUGGUGUAGCGGUGAAAUGCGCAGAUAUCAGGAGGAACACCGGUGGCGAAGGCGGGUCUCUGGGCCGAUACUGACGCUGA
Molecule: ribosomal RNA, 677 nt
Filed under: uncultured bacterium
Lineage: Bacteria
Description: bacterial SSU rRNA
Rfam family: Bacterial small subunit ribosomal RNA
Source: RNAcentral